Molecule: small RNA, 333 nt
Filed under: Pan troglodytes (chimpanzee)
Lineage: Eukaryota; Metazoa; Chordata; Mammalia; Primates; Hominidae
Description: processed transcript
Source: RNAcentral
AAAGAUGAUACUAGGUCAGGAAAUAGCAUUUGAAAGUCAUUCUCAUCUGGAGGGAUGAAGCCAAGAUAAGGCGGAAGCCGGGAAAAGCUUUAAGAAAGCAAAGAAUGAAAAUAGCCCUGAUACCCAAAGAAGCAAAUCUCAUGCACCGUGGGAAGAAAAUGGCCCCCAGAGUGGACUCUACAAUUCUCCCAGUGACCGCACUAAGUCGCCAAAGUUCCCUUACACGCGUCGCCGAAACCCCUCCUGUGGAAGUGACAAUGAUUCUGUACAGCCUGUGAGGAGGAGGAAAGCCCAUAACAGUGGUGAAGAUUCAGAUCUUAAGCAAAGGAGGAG